GCACACACUCAGACACACACCAGUGGC
This 27-nucleotide non-coding RNA is filed under the name Cricetulus griseus (Chinese hamster). Lineage: Eukaryota; Metazoa; Chordata; Mammalia; Rodentia; Cricetidae. The record is from RNAcentral.